CGCGUAGGCGGGAUGGCAAGUCAGUCGUGAAAUCUCUCGGCUCAACCGAGAAACGUCGGCUGAUACUGCCGUUCUUGAGGGAUGCAGAGGAGACUGGAAUUCCCGGUGUAGCGGUGAAAUGUGUAGAGAUCGGGAGGAACACCGGUGGCGAAGGCGGGUCUCUGGGCAUUUCCUGACGCUGAGGCGCGAAAGCGUGGGGAGCAAACG
Molecule: ribosomal RNA, 207 nt
Filed under: uncultured bacterium
Lineage: Bacteria
Description: partial 16S ribosomal RNA
Rfam family: Bacterial small subunit ribosomal RNA
Source: RNAcentral